This 404-nucleotide ribosomal RNA is filed under the name Escherichia coli. RNAcentral describes it as "partial 23S ribosomal RNA". It matches the Rfam family "Bacterial large subunit ribosomal RNA", at positions 614 to 1018 of the family's 2925-position model. Lineage: Bacteria; Pseudomonadati; Pseudomonadota; Gammaproteobacteria; Enterobacterales; Enterobacteriaceae. The record is from RNAcentral.
AAUGGGUCAGCGACUUAUAUUCUGUAGCAAGGUUAACCGAAUAGGGGAGCCGAAGGGAAACCGAGUCUUAACUGGGCGUUAAGUUGCAGGGUAUAGACCCGAAACCCGGUGAUCUAGCCAUGGGCAGGUUGAAGGUUGGGUAACACUAACUGGAGGACCGAACCGACUAAUGUUGAAAAAUUAGCGGAUGACUUGUGGCUGGGGGUGAAAGGCCAAUCAAACCGGGAGAUAGCUGGUUCUCCCCGAAAGCUAUUUAGGUAGCGCCUCGUGAAUUCAUCUCCGGGGGUAGAGCACUGUUUCGGCAAGGGGGUCAUCCCGACUUACCAACCCGAUGCAAACUGCGAAUACCGGAGAAUGUUAUCACGGGAGACACACGGCGGGUGCUAACGUCCGUCGUGAAGAGG